GUAUCGUGCGUGACAUGACUUGCUUAUGUUUUGCCGAAAUGUUGAUUUAUUUCCAUUUCGGCGAAUUUCGAGCAACCUCUAUAUGGCCUAUUUCUAGGAAAGGUCAUGCCGAAAUUUUGUCUGGCUUUGAUAUAUGCAUGCAUGGUUAACAUUCUUUUGCUUAUUAUAUUGUGCAAGCAAACAUGAUGGUCAAUGGAAGGGAGGUGGAAAGAUGGUUGCGAUCCAUGGUGCAUGACAUGUAUUUAAAUAACCGGACUGGGGUUAUAUGUCCAUGUAGAAGAUGCAAAGUAAUCUUCAUCUUGGAC
This 305-nucleotide long non-coding RNA is filed under the name Hordeum vulgare. RNAcentral describes it as "long non-coding RNA (HVUL_LNC019277)". The record is from RNAcentral. Lineage: Eukaryota; Viridiplantae; Streptophyta; Magnoliopsida; Poales; Poaceae.